UAGAGUUUGAUCCUGGCUCAGGAUGAACGCUAGCGGCAGGCUUAACACAUGCAAGUCGAGGGGCAGCGAGAUCAGUGCUUGCACUGAUUGUCGGCGACCGGCGCACGGGUGCGUAACGCGUAUGCAACCUACCCAUUACAGGGGGAUAACACUGAGAAAUCGGUACUAAUACCCCAUAACAUCCAGGGAGGCAUCUUCUUGGGUUGAAAACUCCGGUGGUAAUGGAUGGGCAUGCGUUGUAUUAGUUAGUUGGUGGGGUAACGGCUCACCAAGACAACGAUACAUAGGGGGACUGAGAGGUUAACCCCCCACAUUGGUACUGAGACACGGACCAAACUCCUACGGGAGGCAGCAGUGAGGAAUAUUGGUCAAUGGACGCAAGUCUGAACCAGCCAUGCCGCGUGCAGGAAGACGGCUCUAUGAGUUGUAAACUGCUUUUGUACGAGGGUAAACGCAGAUACGCGUAUCUGUCUGAAAGUAUCGUACGAAUAAGGAUCGGCUAACUCCGUGCCAGCAGCCGCGGUAAUACGGAGGAUUCAAGCGUUAUCCGGAUUUAUUGGGUUUAAAGGGUGCGUAGGCGGUCGGAUAAGUUAGAGGUGAAAUCCCGGGGCUCAACUUCGGAAUUGCCUCUGAUACUGUUCGGCUAGAGAGUAGUUGCGGUAGGCGGAAUGUAUGGUGUAGCGGUGAAAUGCUUAGAGAUCAUACAGAACACCGAUUGCGAAGGCAGCUUACCAAGCUACUUCUGACGUUGAGGCACGAAAGCGUGGGGAGCAAACAGGAUUAGAUACCCUGGUAGUCCACGCAGUAAACGAUGAUAACUCGUUGUCGGCGAUACAGUGUCGGUGACUAAGCGAAAGCGAUAAGUUAUCCACCUGGGGAGUACGUUCGCAAGAAUGAAACUCAAAGGAAUUGACGGGGGCCCGCACAAGCGGAGGAACAUGUGGUUUAAUUCGAUGAUACGCGAGGAACCUUACCCGGGCUUGAAAGUUAGUGACGGAUCUUGAAAGAGGUCUUCCCUUCGGGGCACGAAACUAGGUGCUGCAUGGUUGUCGUCAGCUCGUGCCGUGAGGCGUCGGGUUAAGUCCCAUAACGAGCGCAACCCCUACCGUUAGUUGCCAGCAGGUCAAGCUGGGCACUCUGACGGGACUGCCGGUGUAAGCCGAGAGGAAGGUGGGGGUGACGUCAAAUCAGCACGGCCCUUACGUCCGGGGCUACACACGUGUUACAAUGGCAGGUACAGAGGGCAGCUACCCAGCGAUGGGAUGCGAAUCUCGAAAGCCUGUCUCAGUUCGGAUUGGAGGCUGAAACCCGCCUCCAUGAAGUUGGAUUCGCUAGUAAUCGCGCAUCAGCCAUGGCGCGGUGAAUACGUUCCCGGGCCUUGCACUCACCGCCCGUCA
RNAcentral lists this ribosomal RNA (1397 nucleotides) under uncultured bacterium. RNAcentral's name for it is "16S ribosomal RNA". It matches the Rfam family "Bacterial small subunit ribosomal RNA". The record is from RNAcentral.